GCAACUCGCCUGCAUGAAGCUGGAAUUGCUAGUAAUCGCGGAUCAGCAAGCCGCGGUGAAUACGUUCCCGGGCCUUGUACACACCGCCCGUCACACCAUGAGAGUCGGGAACACCCGAAGUCCGUAGUCUAACCGCAAGGGGGCGCGGCCGAAGGUGGGUCCGGUAAUUGGGGUGAAGUCGUAACAAGGUACC
This 193-nucleotide ribosomal RNA is filed under the name uncultured bacterium. RNAcentral's name for it is "partial 16S ribosomal RNA". It matches the Rfam family "Bacterial small subunit ribosomal RNA", at positions 1307 to 1500 of the family's 1533-position model. The record is from RNAcentral.